UAGCGUAUAUUAAAGUUGUUGCGGUUAAAAAGCUCGUAGUUGGAUUUCUGUUGAAGGCAGCCGGUCCGCACUUGGUGCGUGUAUCUGGUUUGACUUCGGCAUCCUCUCAAAACACGUUUCUGCGCUUGAUUGCGUGGAGCGGGGUUUGAGACUUUUACUUUGAGGAAAUUAGAGUGUUCACGGCAGGCAAUCGCCUUGAAUAUAUUAGCAUGGAAUAAUAAUAUAGGAUCUUGGUUCUAUUUUGUUGGUUUCUAGAGCUAAGAUAAUGAUUAAUAGGGACAAUUGGGGGCAUUCGUAUUUAACUGUC
This 307-nucleotide ribosomal RNA is filed under the name Amoebophrya sp. RNAcentral's name for it is "SSU rRNA". It matches the Rfam family "Eukaryotic small subunit ribosomal RNA", at positions 595 to 906 of the family's 1831-position model. Lineage: Eukaryota; Dinophyceae; Syndiniales; Amoebophryaceae. The record is from RNAcentral.